Small nuclear RNA from Antechinus flavipes (yellow-footed antechinus), 103 nucleotides. The record is from RefSeq and is a predicted model, not a curated record. NCBI's taxonomy places the organism in Eukaryota, Metazoa, Chordata, Mammalia, Dasyuromorphia, Dasyuridae.
GCUUGCUUUGGCCACACAUAUACUAAAAUUGGAAUGAUACAGAAAAGAUUUGUAUGGUCCCUGAGCAAUGAUAACAAACAUUUAUGAAGUUUUCCAUAUUGUU